Molecule: ribosomal RNA, 253 nt
Filed under: uncultured bacterium
Lineage: Bacteria
Description: partial 16S ribosomal RNA
Rfam family: Bacterial small subunit ribosomal RNA
Source: RNAcentral
UACGGGGGGGGCAAGCGUUGUUCGGAAUUACUGGGCGUAAAGGGCUCGUAGGCGGUCUGUCGCGUCGGCUGUGAAAUCCCGAGGCUCAACCUCGGGUCUGCAGUCGAUACGGGCAAACUAGAGUAUUGCAGGGGAGACUGGAAUUCCUGGUGUAGCGGUGAAAUGCGCAGAUAUCAGGAGGAACACCGGUGGCGAAGGCGGGUCUCUGGGCAAUAACUGACGCUGAGGAGUGAAAGCGUGGGGAGCGAACAGG